Molecule: non-coding RNA, 663 nt
Organism: Struthio camelus australis
Lineage: Eukaryota; Metazoa; Chordata; Aves; Struthioniformes; Struthionidae
Source: RefSeq, a predicted model, not a curated record
AGGGCAUUGCGUACAGGAGCUGGGUGCUGGAAAGAAGAGCGCCCAUGGAGUGACUUGUCUUGCUUCUCGGAGGGGCAGAAGCCAUCUGAGGAAAGACAAACGCACAGGAGAAACGGAGGAGGAGGAGAGAGUGCUGGAGGAUUUCCUGAGCGGCCACAGGUUCAACCCAGGCUGGAAGGACCAGUCCAACGCCACAGUGUCGUUUACAUGCCAAUGACCAACUACUUGAACAUGAGCAGCAAGGCUUUCCCAGGGUCCCUGCCCUCCUCUCACUACUCUCUCUUUCACAUUACUGCUUGCAGCGGGGACAGGCAAAUCUCAGUGGCUCUAAGGGCUCCUACGGCCAAAGACAGAAGGACAUUGCAUUGCUCCUGUCAGACCCCAGAUCUUGACCAUUCGCUCUUGGUAUCGGAGGUGCUAGCUGUUCUGCUGGCGUUCAAAUGCCCUGUUAAGAAGGCAGACUGCAGAGAUAAAACCCACAGAAAAUGUUGACGCUGGGUGAGUGCAGCGAUACAGCAAAUUGGGCAUCGGGAGGCACGGGACCGGGCACUGCUCUCCGGGUGUAUAUAUAGGUGCUGCUGGAGACCUCACGCUGUGCGCAGGAGAAACCAGAGCCAUGAGGUGGCUUGUGCUGGCUGCCGUUUGUUGUGGAGGGGGCGGUGA